Molecule: ribosomal RNA, 406 nt
Filed under: uncultured bacterium
Lineage: Bacteria
Description: bacterial SSU rRNA
Rfam family: Bacterial small subunit ribosomal RNA
Source: RNAcentral
GGACCCGCACAAGCAGUGGAGCAUGUGGUUUAAUUCGACGCAACGCGAAGAACCUUACCAGCGUUUGACAUGGGAAGUACCGGUUACAGAAUGGUAACCUUCAGUUCGGCUGGCUUCCGCACAGGUGCUGCAUGGCUGUCGUCAGCUCGUGUCGUGAGAUGUUGGGUUAAGUCCCGCAACGAGCGCAACCCUCACUUUUAGUUGCCAUCAUUAAGUUGGGCACUCUGAAAGAACUGCCAGUGAUAAGCUGGAGGAAGGUGGGGAUGACGUCAAGUCCUCAUGGCCCUUACGUGUUGGGCUACACACGUGCUACAAUGGUAUCUACAACAGGAAGCAAGACGGCGACGUUAAGCAAAUCUGUAAACACAUCCCUAGUUCGGAUUGUAGGCUGCAACUCGCCUACAUG